GACGAACGCUGGCGGCGUGCUUAACACAUGCAAGUCGAACGGGCCUGUCUUCUUUUUUGGGGGUGGGUUGAGUGGCGAACGGGUGAGUAUCACGUGAGUAACCUGCCCUUCGGUCCUGGAUAACCGCUUGAAAGGGCGGCUAAUACGGGGUGGUCCGGUUGGUCCGCAUGGGCUGGUCGGGAUAGAUUCACUGUUUUUGGUGUUUCGGCGGGGGAUGGGCUCGCGGCCUAUCAGCUUGUUGGUGGGGUGAUGGCCUACCAAGGCGGUGACGGGUAGCCGGCCUGAGAGGGUGGGCGGCCACACUGGGACUGAGAUACGGCCCAGACUCCUGCGGGAGGCAGCAGUGGGGGGUAUUGCACAAUGGGCGGAAGCCUGAUGCAGCGACGUCGCGUGAGGGAUGGAGGCCUUCGGGUUGUGAACCUCUGUUUCCGGUGGUGAAGGCUCUGUCCGUGUGGUGGGGUUGACGGUAGCCGGGGAUGAAGCGCCGGCUAACUACGUG
This 499-nucleotide ribosomal RNA is filed under the name uncultured bacterium. RNAcentral's name for it is "partial 16S ribosomal RNA". It matches the Rfam family "Bacterial small subunit ribosomal RNA", at positions 28 to 507 of the family's 1533-position model. The record is from RNAcentral.